GGGUUCUACCGUUGGUCGGGCAAUAGUCUGUACUAGCGUGUAGAAUUUCUACCUUCUGGGGAACCAUCAUGUUAUUUAUUUAGCGUGGUGGGAAACCAGGACCUUUACCUUGAAAAAAUUAGAGUGUUCAAAGCAGGCUUACGUCUGAAUACAUUAGCAUGGAAUAAUAAAAUAGGACGGUGGUCCUGUUUUGUUGGUUUCUGAAUCACCGUAAUGAUUAAUAGAGAUAGUUGGGGGCAUUAGUAUUCAAUUGUCAGAGGUGAAAUUCUUGGAUUUAUUGAAGACUAACUUCUGCGAAAGCAUUUGCCAAGGAUGUUUUCAUUAAUCAAGAACGAAAGUUAGGGGAUCGAAGACGAUCAGAUACCGUCGUAGUCUUAACCAUAAACUAUGCCGACUAGGGAUCGGACGAUGUUAAUUUUUCUUGACUCGUUCGGCGCCUUACGGGAAACCAAAGUGUUUGGGUUCCGGGGGGAGUAUGGUCACAAGGCUGAAACUUAAAGGAAUUGACGGAAGGGCACCACCAGAGGUAGAGCCUGCGGCUUAAUUUGACUCAACAUGGGAAAACUCACUAGGUCCAGACAUAGUAAGGAUUGACAGAUUGAGAGC
RNAcentral lists this ribosomal RNA (606 nucleotides) under Gigaspora sp. MS. RNAcentral's name for it is "SSU rRNA". It matches the Rfam family "Eukaryotic small subunit ribosomal RNA", at positions 643 to 1255 of the family's 1831-position model. Lineage: Eukaryota; Fungi; Glomeromycota; Glomeromycetes; Diversisporales; Gigasporaceae. The record is from RNAcentral.